AUGUUGGCAUUUAGAGAGGUACUGGAGGUGUGUGACCUUAUUGAUUUGGGGUUCUCUGGGCUCCCCCAUACAUAUGAUAAUAAAAGGCAUGGUAACUGGAAUGUUAAGGUCCGGCUGGACCGGGUUGUUGCUGACAAUAGUUGGCGCGACAUAUUCACCGAAGCUCGCGUGGUGCAUCAAGUGAGCCCAUGUUCGGAUCAUUGUCCUAUUGUACUGAGAUGUGAUAAAGAAGAGCAACGCCAGGGACCGAGGCAAAAACAAUACGAAGUAAUGUGGGAGAGGGAUGCAAGCUUACCGGAAAGGGUUCAACAGGCGUGGGCGCGUGCUGGUGCAAAACAGAACUUGGGUGAUGUUCGGUGUAGUCUUACUGCCCUCAUGGCAGAGCUUCAGGUUUGGAGUAAAGAGACCUUUGGGAGCGUGGCCCGUGAACUUGAAAAAUCGAGGACCCAGCUGGAGGAACUUAUGGCGAUGAAUGCGGAUAGGAGGGAGAUAAGACGUGUGGAGGAUCACAUGAACGAGCUGUUGUACCGAGAGGAACUCAUGUGGCUGCAACGAUCACAUAUUGACUGGCUUCGAGAUGGUGAUAGAAAUACGAAAUUAUUUCAUCGUAAAGCUGUUUGGAGAGCGCAAAAAAACAAAGAACGCUGCCUAGUUGAUGACGCUGGUGACAAAUAA
This 675-nucleotide ribosomal RNA is filed under the name Triticum aestivum (bread wheat). RNAcentral's name for it is "partial small subunit ribosomal RNA". Lineage: Eukaryota; Viridiplantae; Streptophyta; Magnoliopsida; Poales; Poaceae. The record is from RNAcentral.